UGACCAAGCUUUUGAUAUACUUUGUUUUC
This 29-nucleotide non-coding RNA is filed under the name Mus musculus (house mouse). Lineage: Eukaryota; Metazoa; Chordata; Mammalia; Rodentia; Muridae. The record is from RNAcentral.